Molecule: unclassified non-coding RNA, 329 nt
Filed under: soil metagenome
Description: partial contains 5.8S ribosomal RNA, internal transcribed spacer 2, and large subunit ribosomal RNA
Rfam family: 5.8S ribosomal RNA (bases 1-120)
Source: RNAcentral
GAUGAAGAACGUAGUGAAAUGCGAUAAGUAAUGUGAAUUGCAGAAUUCAGUGAAUCAUCGAAUCUUUGAACGCACAUUGCGCCCCCUGGUAUUCCGGGGGGCAUGCCUGUCCGAGCGUCAUUACAACCCUCAAGCUCAGCUUGGUGUUGGGCCCCGCCGCCCCGGCGGGCCCUAAAGUCAGUGGCGGUGCCGUCCGGCUCCGAGCGUAGUAAUUCUUCUCGCUCUGGAGGUCCGGUCGUGUGCUCGCCAGCAACCCCCAAUUUUUUUCAGGUUGACCUCGGAUCAAGUAGGAUUACCCGCUGAACUUAAGCAUAUCAAUAAGCGGAGGA